Molecule: long non-coding RNA, 1563 nt
Organism: Pogoniulus pusillus (Red-fronted tinkerbird)
Lineage: Eukaryota; Metazoa; Chordata; Aves; Piciformes; Lybiidae
Exons: 2
Source: RefSeq, a predicted model, not a curated record
AAGGUAGAAAACAAGGUGCAAGAACAAAUGACUGGGUUCCUCAAUGAAGGGACAUCAUGGGAGAGUUCUCUGGGAAUUAGUGCUGGUCCUGGGCUGUUCUGCACCUUCAUAGAAAGGAAAUAGUGCUUUUUGGGAGAAGAGAUGGAGCAAAGCACACAUGUGGGAGAAAUCAAGCCUCUUGAGAAUCUUGGCAGUCAUCAUGACUUUUGUGAGGAGAUGGAUGUUCACUGUGUUACAAAGGCGUGUGAAAACUGCAGCUGCAAAGGGCUGAGGUAUGUCAUUACCUGACACCAGAGGCCAUGGUGUGGCUUAGAUUCAGGACAGACUCACCUCAUCCUGUCCUGCACAACCUCAUCAAGAAAUGGACUUGUCAGGGCUUUUAGAGUGGAUGUAGACCUGAGCGCUCAGGACCUAAUUGCACAUGCACUGUUGGAGGGUGCAGUCACAUUGGCUGCAGGUGAAGGUUUGCAAGACUGGAUCCACAAAUAGCCUGGUAAGUUUUGGUUAUAUUCUCAUCUGUUUUGGUCAAGUUGACUUCACUUUACUAACAUUUUUAAUUCACAUUUUUAUUUGUCCUAGAAGGAACACAAGUUCUUUACUCUUCGGCGAAGAGUGCAAAUAGAUGGGGCAUAUGUUUUUUUCACAUGUUGAGUAGCUGAUGGCUUAAAGUUUGCACACAGUUGCAUAACCCAAGAGUUACCUGUCUUGGUGUACUGAACAAUUACAAGAAGUCAUUGUUUUCUAAUAUUAUUUUCUUCUUUUUUUUUUUGUUUAAGUGAAGUUCACAUUUGAAAUCUCUUUUGCGCUUUGAAGUAGAGUGUAGCUCCCGGAGGUGGAUAAUCUUAAUGCUAAUUUACUAUGCAACAAUGUGCGUUAUUAACGGACAUGUGAGUGAUUCUUUCAGUGAAUGAAGAAAAAUUAUUCCAAAUGAUUAUUGAUGGGUUAAUCAAGGUAGCCAUGUCAACUUUCUUGUAUCCAUUAGUGUGAACGGUAUUUUACAAUCAUAAUAAUAAGAGCCAAAUGUUAAUGGCUGAGGUAAUCAGACCCUAAUGAAGAACAGUGAGGAGUGCUCUCUUUAAAUAGUUUACAAUUUUCAUAAUCACUGGAGUGGUCAGUAGGUCCCAUGAUUCUUCAUAUUUCAUAAUGUGUGUUUACUAUCAGCUUUUGGGUUUAAUUUCUUUUUUCUUCCUCCAGAAGGUGAGUAAACAGAGAAAUUAAGAAGCAUAAAUGUGUGUAAUAGCAUACCAAAUAAAACUCAUUUUGUACAGAAAUUCUAAGAGAAAAGCAUUUUACACUUGGAGUUACAGGUAUCUAGAAGCCUGCUCCUGCCUUUAAUUUCUGGUCUUCGUAUAAUUAUUUUGUUGAUAAUAAGCACUUUAAUUUUUAAGAGCUCAUCACAGGCUUAAGCCUUAUCCAGCAGUUGAAGACCCUUGACUGCUUUAGUGUAGGAACCUUUUGGGGAAGAAUAUUUUUAACUGCUGUCUGUUUUUCCCAAGUAGUAUGCUUGUGAUCCACAAAUACACAGUUAAGGAACUAGUUUGUGUGACUGGUUCUAUGGUUAAA